AUUUCGGUGGCCCUAUCCCGGCUGUUCCCGCUUCUCCGGCCGUGCAAGCUCAGAGGAGGACCAGGACGAGGAGGAAGAUUCCCGGGCGCAGAUCCGGAUGCUCGCUGCUCCCCGGAGCUGCACUGCACUCGCUCUGAAAAUUCGCUAAGAUGAUAGGAGCCUCCACGAAUGUUUCAUAUUCUUCCUGGGUGAUCUGAGAAACAUGACCUCGAAGAAAAUUCAGCCGGGCUUGUGCUCUGAUGCCUCUGCACCCACCUCUUUGGAGGCUGAAGCAGGAGGAUCGCGAAUUCCAGGCCAAAUCACAAGACCCUGUCUCAGGAGGGCCCCCCCCCACACUCCCUGUGGGGAAAAGUAUGAUGUGGUAACACUCCAUCGUGUGGAAGAAGGUAUUUUUGUGGGCAUUUCUGCUUGUUCUGACUUCCUUUCCUGUUCCGGUUGAUUUCAUUUGGAGAACUUACCUUUCUCCCCUCCGUCAGUGGUCAGGGCGGGACGAAGGGAGGGAAAGCGUCUGUGAGUUAGGCCUCUCUGGCUGUCCCUGCCGUCUCUUUUCCAGUGCAUUUGAAAAUCAAGAAGAAUGGGACCAUCUUUCCUUGCAUGAAUAAUGAAGAAGUCACCAGCGGUGGGGCAGAGAUUCAAAGAUGGAGAUUUGGCCGAGAGACAUUGCUUGCCUUAAAAUCAAUGUGGACCAGAUUCCUCGGGAACUUUUAAUCAAUAAAAACUUGGUUGUGUUUGUCUUAUUGCUUA
Jaculus jaculus (lesser Egyptian jerboa) is the source of this 744-nucleotide long non-coding RNA. RefSeq lists it as uncharacterized. The record is from RefSeq and is a predicted model, not a curated record. Lineage: Eukaryota; Metazoa; Chordata; Mammalia; Rodentia; Dipodidae. The transcript is spliced from 2 exons.